CAGGAGGGCUCCGGAUGCAUGCAACAUGCCUCUCUCCCAGGCCUACUCUGUGGCAGGUACAAAUCACAUUUUUCUGAACCCAACUAAAGAGGAGAAGAUAGUCAAAGUGUGAAAAAGGCCAGUUCUUUUCCUACCUCUGGCUCUGAAGAGACUCAUGGCCUUUGUGAUACAUGGGAAUGAAAUGAUCAAACCAGCUAUAGAGUUUCCAAAGCAGGGUACCACUUAUCAGUCACAAAAAGCAAUAAAACCAGAUGUGAUGAAAUUGGAUUGAGAAAAAGAAUGGGUUUGAUUUUAUGAAAUGGGCCACUUGGUCUGACUUGGCUGGAUUCUCAGAGCAGCUCAGAAAGAGCAAGGGAACAACAUGGAAGAGGAGAACCUGGGGGUGUUAGACCCAGAGAUGGAAGCCUGAGACCUGAUUCUGGGCCACAGUUAGGGCUGAGCCCUUUGCCUUGCAGAGAACCCUGGACUUUAGGCCGAAAGAGCACUAGAUUUGAAGCUGGUGAUGAUGCGAGCCUUC
This is a non-coding RNA of Heterocephalus glaber (naked mole-rat), 517 nucleotides long. Lineage: Eukaryota; Metazoa; Chordata; Mammalia; Rodentia; Bathyergidae. The record is from RefSeq and is a predicted model, not a curated record.